GUACACGCUGUGACUAGCAUAUCAAUAAGCGGAGGAAAAGAAACUAACAAGGAUUCCCUAGUAACGGCGAGUGAAGCGGGAAGAGCUCAAAUUUGAAAUCUUCAAGGUUUUACCUUGACGAAUUGUAGUUUAAAGAAGUGUUUUCUGUUGAAGUUUUGGUAAAAGUUCUUUGGAAUAGGACAUCAUAGAGGGUGAGAAUCCCGUAUUUGACCAUUAUUUUCAGCUGUGUGAUACACUUUCAAAGAGUCGGAUUGUUUGGGAAUGCAGUCCAAAAUGGGAGGUAAAUUUCUAUCUAAGGCUAAAUAUUGGCGAGAGACCGAUAGCGAACAAGUACCGUGAGGGAAAGAUGAAAAGAACUUUGAAAAGAGAGUUAAACUAGUACGUGAAAUUGUCAAAAGGGAAGCGUUUAACACCAGUGUUGUUUUUCUGAAAAUCAAUUAAAGAACUGUUUAUGCUAAGCUGUUUAGACUUUAUCAGCUAUCUGUUUAGUUUUGAGCUUUUCUUUAAUGCACUUUUCAGUUAACAAGUCAACAUCAAUUUCUUUUGCUGUAAAAAAGCUUGAGGAAGGUGGCUUGAGAUUCGUCUUAAGUGUUUAUAGCCUCUUGCCUAUGCAGUCGGAGAGAUUGAGGUCUGCAGCGUAGAUCCUUCGGGGCUAAAUGCAUUUGUGCUAAGUUAUAGCAUUUUAUAGACAACUUGUUGACUAUGAUUUGUCUUGUAGCUUACUCGCUUAUGUUAUUUUACCUACGCUUAGGAUGUUGACGCAUGAGAUAUACGC
Molecule: ribosomal RNA, 775 nt
Filed under: uncultured Neocallimastigales
Lineage: Eukaryota; Fungi; Neocallimastigomycota; Neocallimastigomycetes; Neocallimastigales
Description: partial large subunit ribosomal RNA
Rfam family: Eukaryotic large subunit ribosomal RNA
Source: RNAcentral